UGGGCGGAGCUGAUCAGCCAUGCCGCGUGCAGGAAGACUGCCCUAUGGGUUGUAAACUGCUUUUGUACGGGAAGAAACACUCCUACGUGUAGGAGCUUGACGGUACCGUAAGAAUAAGCAUCGGCUAACUCCGUGCCAGCAGCCGCGGUAAUA
Molecule: ribosomal RNA, 153 nt
Filed under: Jejuia sp.
Lineage: Bacteria; Pseudomonadati; Bacteroidota; Flavobacteriia; Flavobacteriales; Flavobacteriaceae
Description: partial 16S ribosomal RNA
Rfam family: Bacterial small subunit ribosomal RNA
Source: RNAcentral